Molecule: ribosomal RNA, 446 nt
Filed under: uncultured bacterium
Lineage: Bacteria
Description: partial 16S ribosomal RNA
Rfam family: Bacterial small subunit ribosomal RNA
Source: RNAcentral
GUAGGGAAUAUUGGACAAUGGGGGGAACCCUGAUCCAGCCAUGCCGCGUGGAGGAAGACUGCCCUCUGGGUUGUAAACUCCUUUUAUAUGGGAAGAACCGUCCUCAUUAAUGAGUGACCUGACGGUACCAUAGGAAUAAGCACCGGCUAACUCCGUGCCAGCAGCCGCGGUAAUACGGAGGGUGCAAGCGUUAUCCGGAUUCACUGGGUUUAAAGGGUGCGUAGGCGGAUAAAUAAGUCAGUGGUGAAAUCAACGGGCUCAACCUGUUAACUGCCAUUGAUACUGUGUAUCUUGAAUAUGAGAGAGGUAGGCGGAAUGUUGCAUGUAGCAGUGAAAUGCUUAGAUAUGCUACGGAACACCGAUUGCGAAGGCAGCUUACUAUUUCGUAAUUGACGCUGAGGCACGAAAGCGUGGGUAGCGAACAGGAUUAGAAACCCCAGUAGUCC